RNAcentral lists this ribosomal RNA (460 nucleotides) under uncultured bacterium. RNAcentral's name for it is "partial 16S ribosomal RNA". It matches the Rfam family "Bacterial small subunit ribosomal RNA", at positions 338 to 795 of the family's 1533-position model. The record is from RNAcentral.
CCUACGGGAGGCAGCAGUGAGGAAUAUUGGUCAAUGGCCGGAAGGCUGAACCAGCCAUGCCGCGUGAAGGUCAGUGCCCUAUGGGCGUUAAACUUCUUUUGUGCGGGAGCAAUAAUGGUCACGUGUGGCCAGACGAGAGUACCGUACGAAUAAGCAUCGGCUAACUCCGGGCCAGCAGCCGCGGUAAUACGGGGGAUGCAAGCGUUAUCCGGAUUUAUUGGGUUUAAAGGGUGCGUAGGCUGUGAGGUAAGUCAGCGGUGAAAUGCCCCCGCUCAACGGGGUGAAGUGCCAUUGAUACUGCCUUGCUUGAAUGCGGAUGCCGUGGGAGGAAGGUGUUGUGUAGCGGUGAAAUGCAUAGAUAUCACACAGAACACCGAUUGCGAAGGCAUCUCACGAAUCCGCGAUUGACGCUGAUGCACGAAAGCGUGGGUAUCAAACAGGAUUAGAUACCCCUGUAGUC